GGGCAUGUAGCUCAGUGGUACAGCGUGUGCCUAGCAUGCACAAGGUCCUGGGUUCAAUCCCCAGGACUUCCA
This is a transfer RNA of Camelus ferus (Wild Bactrian camel), 72 nucleotides long. It matches the Rfam family "tRNA". Rfam says of the family: Transfer RNA (tRNA) molecules are approximately 80 nucleotides in length. The record is from Rfam. Lineage: Eukaryota; Metazoa; Chordata; Mammalia; Artiodactyla; Camelidae.